Molecule: ribosomal RNA, 253 nt
Filed under: uncultured bacterium
Lineage: Bacteria
Description: partial 16S ribosomal RNA
Rfam family: Bacterial small subunit ribosomal RNA
Source: RNAcentral
UACGUAGGUGGCAAGCGUUGUCCGGAUUUAUUGGGUUUAAAGGGUGCGUAGGUGGCCCUGUAAGUCAGUGGUGAAAUAUCUCAGCUUAACUGAGAGGGUGCCAUUGAUACUGCAGGGCUUGAGUACAGAUGAGGUAGGCGGAAUUGACGGUGUAGCGGUGAAAUGCAUAGAUAUCUGGAGGAACACCGGUGGCGAAGGCGGCGUUCUGGACUGCAACUGACACUGAUGAACGAAAGCCAGGGGAGCAAACGGG